AAGGCCACCCUCGGCUCCGAGAGCGCCUGGCCUGAGAGAGUGGGAGGAAAGGCGGAGAAAUCACCCAGAAGGGGCGCCGCGCCCGCCCAGCCCUGCCUGCCUGCCGCCGCGGCUUCUUCCCGUCCGUCCUUCCCUCCCACUCGUGAGGGGAGUGGGGGAUGGGCCUCUCACUGCCACCUCUCCCGAGCGAGGGGGAACUGGCCGCGCUAAAUGGCGACCGCCCCCGAAAGACGCGCGCACAGAGAUACUCUUCUUCCCUCUCUCCCUCCGCCAGCGAGCGAGAGACAGGCUGCGAGGCCACGCCCCCCCUUUUUCCGUCCGCACUCCAACACGCCUGCGUCAACGCUGCUCCUCCUUCGGGUCUGCCUGGGAGAUGUAGUUCUGGCCUGUCUCUGACGCCUCGAGCCACGGUGCAGCUUACACUUCCCAUGAUGCCUGAGGAAGAAGGCGAGGACUAAAACGAAAUGGGAAAGUGAAAAUACAACCAAACCCUGGCAACAUAGCAGUCUUCCCAGCAGAGUGACUGGCUACACUGAUCAAGUUAUGCCCACUGCUGUCCGUCUGAUGCAGAGAGGGUUUGUGAUUUAAUGAAGCCUUGCCAGUACUAUCCUGAGGUUUGGAUUCAUUUCUCUCUGCUCACCCCCAGCAUUAUCUUGUUAGCAACAUCACUGCAGACUGCCGAACAAUUCCCAAUGCUGCAAAAAUGAUCGAAAACACAUCAUCUCCCGGAAGGCUAAUUAUAAGAAACAUCGCAUGUUUUGAUAAUGGCUUCUGCUACUCAGAAAGUAGAAAGUGAAAUCUUGAAUUGGGAUACCAAACAUAUGUAUAAAGGUGCAUUUUUUCCCCAUAAAUAUGCUGAACCUGAACCCCAAGGAUGGUAGAACAUGAAGAGAACUAGCCAUCUUGGGGGUUGAUUUGAUAUCGAGUAGGGUGUACAAAAUAAGUAAAAUAGUGGUUGAAUUGCUUCCUUGGAGGAAAGAGGUACACAUCCCUUGAAAAAGCUCUCAGGAUCCUUUCAAAAAUUGCUCAUAAAUUCUAAUUUUUAACAUAAUUAUAUUAAACGCAAAUUUGGGGACCCUAGUAAUGGGCUUUACAGUUAAUGCACUGUAAUGUUAAUUCGCUAAGCAUUAAAUAAAUCAAGUUUAGCUUUUGUUCUGGUCCUACUUGGUGACUCCAAAUAUGUUGUAUGUUCCUGAGAAACACAACAAUUGAAAAUUUAAACUUAUUAUCUGAUAUAUUGAGAACAGAGUGAUGAGGCACGUUUUGGACCCUCAGGCCAGGGAAUGCCUAUUUCUGUCCUUUUUUUUUUUUUGCUUUGUAAAACAUCGGAAUGUGGGCAAUGUUACCCUUGCACAUUUUUGUUCCUGAAGUAAAAGAAGGACUUUUUCAUCCUCUCUUUCAGCCAAAGCCUCAUUUGAUUUGAUUAUUUGCUUUUGACCGCACAAAGGGCUGGACAUUGUCAGCCAGAAAUGGUAAUCUAAAAUUGUUAUCUAAAAUUAUUAUCUAAAGUUAUUGUUUCCUUUUUUUCUCCUGGUCAGCUGGUCCAAAGUGGAUAAAAUGUUUUGGAUAAAAUAUUAUUCAAUCCAGUUACAGUAGGAAAUAAAUAUUACUGGAUAAUAAAAAUAAAAGCCCUUCCCUUUCUCAUGAUUUGUUAUUGCCCAUUGAAUAAAAGAGAUACUUAUAUUUGGGAAUAAGAGGUAGGUCCUUCUGAACUUCUUAAUACGCAAAUGAAACCCUGGUAGAAGUUACCUGUCUGUCUGGAUCGUUGCUGCAGGAAAUGCCCUUUUAGAGAAUUUUGUUGGUAAUUAAAUAGAAGUUAUUUUUGAUAGUGAUAAUUAAAUUUAGGAAUAUGACUUAAUUUUCUUUGUCAUUUCUAUCAUGAUAUUUUGAACAAUAAUCUUUUUCAACCAUAAAUUGCAUAUAAAAUAUGACAUAUCAGAAAAACGAACUGUGGAAAGAAUGUAUGGAGCCCAUGAAUAAAACGGUCUUUUAAAACAGCUUUAGUCCCUUGUAAGUGGAAUGUAGUCACAAUUAAUUCAUUCAGUGAGUUUCUUUAAAUUCCAGACUUUAUAAAAUUCUUCUAAUUUCAUGAUCUGUCUGGAUGGGAGCAACACAGCAUCAGUUUGUCUGUGUAAGUCACAGAAUAAAUCAUCCUGAAUUUCUACAUAUGCACAGCUCUCUCUCUAUCUCUUAACAGUGGGUUAU
This is a non-coding RNA of Python bivittatus (Burmese python), 2205 nucleotides long. The record is from RefSeq and is a predicted model, not a curated record. Lineage: Eukaryota; Metazoa; Chordata; Lepidosauria; Squamata; Pythonidae.